This 427-nucleotide long non-coding RNA is filed under the name Homo sapiens (human). RNAcentral's name for it is "long intergenic non-protein coding RNA 2614". The record is from RNAcentral. Lineage: Eukaryota; Metazoa; Chordata; Mammalia; Primates; Hominidae.
CCUGGGUUCCAGCGAUCCUCCCGCCUCAGCCUCCCCAGUAGCUGGGGCUACAGGUCUAGCUGGAGUACAGUGAUGCAGUCAUAGCCCACUGCAGCCUCAAAAUUCCUGGGCUCAAGCAAUCCACCCACAUCAGCUUCCCAAGUAGUUGGGACUACAGGCCCACACUACUAUACCCAGACCAACAGAUAUUCUAGCAUAUAAGAAAUGUGAUGCUCUCUGUACAUUGAAGAGUUGGUCUAAUAUUUGGCCUGGUGGAUACAGAAAUUGCCUGUCUGCUCCGCUCUGGUUGAAGAAACCAGUCCGACUGUCUCUGAGGCUAUGGAGCAGUCCAUCAAGAAUGAAAGCCCUCGGCUGGCACGUUGGCUCACACCUGUAAUACCAGCGCUUUGGGAGGCUGAGGCAGGUGGAUCACUUGAAGUCACGAAUU